RNAcentral lists this ribosomal RNA (108 nucleotides) under Sorex araneus (European shrew). The record is from RNAcentral. Lineage: Eukaryota; Metazoa; Chordata; Mammalia; Eulipotyphla; Soricidae.
GUCUAUGGCCAUAUCACCCUGAACGUGCCCGAUCUUCUCUGAUCUUAGAAGCUAAGCAGGGUAGGGCCUGGUUAGUACUUGGAUGGGAGAAAGCAUUAACUUUUUUCU